ACGUAAACUACCAUUCCAAAGUCAAGUCUCCUGAUCAACUCAAAAGUCUCACGCCCCUCAUCCCCAACAUUUUUCUCCCCCCCCCCCCCAUUCUUUCCCUCCGCUAUAAAAAAAAUCCGUCAAGAUUCACAAAUUCAUCCAUCCAGUUCUUCAGCGCUGCUACUGCAAUUUGCAUCUUCAUCGUCUGUUAUUCUUGUUCCAGUGAAACAAAAGAAAUGAUUGAGCUGUUUUUCGCGGUGGCUUUCUCGGCGAUGCCGUUGACACUCUACGUCCCGCCGAUCCGAAGCUUAAACUUGUUCGUCGAGUCGUUGCAGAACCUGCUCCGGCAAACCACCGCCUAUACUCAUCGGGUCUUCCCUCGUCUCCGGACUGCCGUCUCCAGAUUGCUCUCUAACUAUUCCGCCUCUCGCCGGAUGUAGAUUGUAAAAAAGGUUCAGCUUUUCCUUUUCCAGAUUCAACACAUCCAAACCGGCCCUUUAUUUUCUUUGUUAAGAGUAAUUUGACCGCAGGAUGAGUGGGAUUUUGGAUUGAAUACCGAUACUGGCAAAAGCAGAAACAUGUAAGAUUGGUCCAGAAGCUGAUGGUUGCCAGAUGUCAACCUUUAAAUCUUCAUCGACUGGAUAGAUGAAGUGAUAUGUGCCACAGAUUCGGUUGGUGAACUUGAUAGGCCUCGUACAUUCUUGAAAAUUUCAGAAUUCUUGGCAGUCCGUAAGGAACCGCUGACCCAGUUGGCUCAAUGGUCAAGUCUUUUUUGCAAAAUGAAAAAAAAUUAAAGGACUUUUUGAUUUAGUCAGAUCUUUGUAUAUCUACUAGCAUUUUUUUAAAUUUAGUCAUCUAUAUAACUGUUAAUCCCUUUUACAGUCUCUUUAACCUCUUCUCUCUAUAAAAUAGGAUAAAUGUUAUCGUUGCUCAAAACAAAAAACAAAAAAAAAACAACCCAUCAAGGUAUUUGAGAGUCAGUGGAGACCCCUGGAAUAUAUGGACUUCGUUUGGA
This is a long non-coding RNA of Coffea arabica (coffee), 994 nucleotides long. RefSeq lists it as uncharacterized. The record is from RefSeq and is a predicted model, not a curated record. Lineage: Eukaryota; Viridiplantae; Streptophyta; Magnoliopsida; Gentianales; Rubiaceae.